AUCACUUCAUGGUCUUGGCUAAAAUCAAGAGCCAUAUUUGUUCUUGUCAGUUUAAUAUCUGCUACGUCCUCUAUCCAAGGACAAUAUGUGAAAUGGAUUUGGGGGACCCGGAAAUGGAAUAGGAGUUUGCUUCAUGCAUUCCAUGAAUCCACCUGAUAUUGCAAAACCUCCAAGAUGGCGCGCCUACU
Molecule: small nuclear RNA, 188 nt
Organism: Sorex araneus (European shrew)
Lineage: Eukaryota; Metazoa; Chordata; Mammalia; Eulipotyphla; Soricidae
Product: U2 spliceosomal RNA
Exons: 1
Source: RefSeq, a predicted model, not a curated record